Non-coding RNA from Paramuricea clavata, 366 nucleotides. Lineage: Eukaryota; Metazoa; Cnidaria; Anthozoa; Malacalcyonacea; Plexauridae. The record is from the annotation of a GenBank genome assembly.
UUUGACUAAAAAUUGCCAAAAAAUCUCCGGUCAUUUUUGAUAAGGCCAAAAAAAAAAUAUGUGGGUUUCCGGUUUCUUCUUAUAAAAACUUAGGUAGGGUAGGUCGGUUUUAACUUUUUUUUUUAAACUUUUUUUUUUAAUUUUCCGAACAACCGGACGCCAUUUUGUUUAGUCAGUGCUUCCACAUCCAAAGAUAAAUUUCCCUAAUAUUGCCUCAAAUUUCAAUUUUCCACAAAGUUUUUCCUCUAAGCGGAAACACUUAGGCCUUUCCCGAUUGCGCUGGGCACUUUUUGAGCACUUUUUUUUGUUUGGAGCACCAUUUUGCAUGUUGAGCAACGUUGAGCACUUUUUCGCACUUUGGGCAAC